Molecule: microRNA, 21 nt
Filed under: Tetranychus urticae (two-spotted spider mite)
Lineage: Eukaryota; Metazoa; Arthropoda; Arachnida; Trombidiformes; Tetranychidae
Description: tur-miR-5734-5p
Source: miRBase by way of RNAcentral
GCAUUGACUUCUAUCCGAAUG